AUGCGGCAGCAGUCCCUCUUCCUCGAGGGCAGAAAGUGUUGCUUUGGUGAGUCCUCCGUGGCCUACCUGGGUCAUGUCAUUGUUGCUGAUGGGGUGGCCAUGGAUAAGGAUAAGGUGCGCGCGAUUGCUAACUGGCCUACGCCUCGUUCUUUCCGGGCGUUACGCGGCUUCUUGGGGCUGGCCAGCUACUAUCGCAAGUUCAUCAAGGACUUCGGCAUGCUCGCUGCCCCUCUCACACGCCUAAUGAGCAAGGAGAGAUUUUGGUGGUGCCCAGAGGCACAGGAUGCCUUCCAGGCGCUCAAGCAUGCCCUUGGUCAAGAUCCGGUGCUCCAGAUGCCGGACUUUGACAAUUGCUUCAUUCUUGAGUGUGACGCCUCCGGGACUGGCUUUGGUGCUGUUCUUCAGCAAGGUGCGGGGCCCUUGGCCUUUUUCGGUCAGCCCAUUGCUUCAUGCCAUGCCAAGCUUGCUGCCUAUGAGCGGGAACUCAUUGACUGGUUCAGGCUGUACGUCACUGGCGGACAUAUCUUUGGGGUCAUGCCUUUACCGAACGCACCGGCCACUACAGCCUGA
Molecule: ribosomal RNA, 570 nt
Filed under: Triticum aestivum (bread wheat)
Lineage: Eukaryota; Viridiplantae; Streptophyta; Magnoliopsida; Poales; Poaceae
Description: partial small subunit ribosomal RNA
Source: RNAcentral